AUUGAACGCUGGCGGCAUGCCUAACACAUGCAAGUCGAGCGGAGUUGCGGACGGGUGAGUAAUUCCUAGGUAUCUGCCUUGUAGUUCGGGAUAACGUCCCGAAACGGGCGCUAAUACCGUAUACUAUCAGAUGAGCCUAGGUCGGGUUAGCUAGUUGGUGGGGUAAAGGCGUACCAAGGCGACGAUCCGUAACUGGUCUGAGAGGAUGAUCAGUCACACUGGAACGGAGACACGGUCCAGACUCCUACGGGAGGCAGCAGUGGGGAAUAUGGGACAAUGGGCGAAAGCCUGAUCCAGCCAUGCCUAGUGUGUGAAGAAGGUCUUCGGAUUGUAAAGCACUUUAAGUUGGGAGGCGUUACCAACAGAAUAAGCACCGGCUAACUUCGUGCCAGCAGCCGCGGUAAUAC
This 407-nucleotide ribosomal RNA is filed under the name uncultured bacterium. RNAcentral describes it as "partial 16S ribosomal RNA". It matches the Rfam family "Bacterial small subunit ribosomal RNA", at positions 30 to 526 of the family's 1533-position model. The record is from RNAcentral.